Long non-coding RNA from Mus musculus (house mouse), 1375 nucleotides. RefSeq annotates it as predicted gene, 41913. NCBI's taxonomy places the organism in Eukaryota, Metazoa, Chordata, Mammalia, Rodentia, Muridae. The record is from RefSeq and is a predicted model, not a curated record. The transcript has 3 exons.
CAGAACACAGACUGGAAGGCCUCCAGCCUAUGACAUGAAGAAGGGCAACAUGUGACAAAGACUAGAGCUGUCGACCGUGUACAACCUGUGAGGUGAUUUGGAACAGGAAGGGUGACAAAGGAAAAUAAGCUCAUGGCGCAUCAGAGAAAACACCCCAGGGAGACCUACGGAACACAGCAAGGGAAAGCAAGCAUCAAUUCCAUGGGACCCUGAGAACCAACUUCGGUGGAACACUUUUAAAUGCUUCAUCUUUGCUCACAGGCUUCAGAUUUCUCCGUGAAAAGGAGCAGUGCACUCCAUCUGUGAGAAUCUGCUCUGAACAGGAGGAAGCACAUUUAAGUAGCCGAGGGCUCCCUGCUCAUUUUACCAGCAAGGGGUGCGUUCUCACGAAGGGCUCCAGAAUCACAUCAGAGUCCUGUCACCAACUCUACCCAUGGGAUAAAAGCAUAAGCAAUUGUUGAAGGGUUGCAGCAUUAGGAAGACUGACAGCCACCUCUCUGAAGUGUCAGCCUGACAGGAAUGGAAUCACCUAAGAGACAAACCUCUCCACUUGUCUGUGAGGAUGCUUCCAGAAGAGUUAAACUGAAGAGAGAAGGCGCACCCUGACUCUGGGCAGUACCGUGCCAAGGGCCGAGGACCAUGACUGAAUAAAACGGAUCCGGUUGGUGAGCACGGGGAUUCAGCUCUCUGCUUCUUGCUGGUUCCUGAUUCCUGACAUCCUACUUCCAUCCUUCCCCAACCACCAGCCACUGGCAGCAUCCUCAAGUGCUGGCUCUCCUGUGACUCCAGCUAGCACCGAUGUGAUACCCCAGAGGAGCCUAGCAGCCUCAGGUAAACCCAGACAUCUCCCAGCAUUCAUAGUUCUAUCUGUGGACUCAUCUAAAUAGACCUCUAACAUGUCUCACCCUAGGCUGCACAUUGUUUUCAGGUAUCCUGGUUAUUCUUACUCAUUAUUUCUUCCCAAUAAAUUCUAUAACCAAUGACUUCAGCCCCAUGGCAGGGGUCUGUGGGAAUCUUCAUUAGGGCUAUGCUGAAUGUGCACACGAGCGACCUGUUGGCUCCUUUCUCACAGCUCACAUCUGUUUUUCCAUCUACGGCUGUUCUGCUUUUUUUGUUUUUUUAGGAGUGUUUGGUGACUCUCUUCAUGCGUGUGGCAGACACUCCCGAAGUUCAUUUUUGGCUAUUUUAUUCUGUCCAUCCUGCCUACUGCUGUCAAAAAUGAAAUCUCAUUAUAUUUUCUGUCUCAUCUCAGAUCUGUCAUAUACAAAAUGUACAGAGUGGGUUUUUGUAACUGGCCUCUUUUGAUUAGCAUAAUGGCUUUGAGGCACACCUAUGCUGUAGCACCUUCAUUAUGUCUCUGAAAUUAUCUACCCCU